This is an RNA transcript of Cervus elaphus (red deer), 4064 nucleotides long. It is a transcript of the gene named vestigial like family member 2, with no coding region annotated. The record is from RefSeq and is a predicted model, not a curated record. NCBI's taxonomy places the organism in Eukaryota, Metazoa, Chordata, Mammalia, Artiodactyla, Cervidae. The transcript has 4 exons.
CUUCCAGCUCGGAGCGCGGUGGCGGCUGGAACUGCAGGGGUGGGAAGGCCGAGUGCGAGCGGGAUCCCGAGCCGCGGAGCGCGCUGCCCCUCGCUCCGCCGCGGAUGACUCGGGAGCUCGGGGCCAAGUGGCGCCCAGGCAGCAUCCCUGCCCUCCGCCGUCCGAGGAGAGUUGACGAUAAAACAUUUAAAAGUCUCCGCUGCGGGAAGCCAUGAGCUGUCUGGAUGUUAUGUACCAAGUCUAUGGUCCUCCCCAGCCUUACUUCGCAGCCGCCUACACCCCCUACCACCAGAAACUAGCCUAUUAUUCCAAAAUGCAAGAAGCCCAGGAGUGCAACGCCAGCCCCAGCAACAGCAGCGGCAGUGGCAGCUCCUCCUUCUCCAGCCAAACUCCGGCUAGUAUAAAAGAAGAAGAAAGCAGCCCGGAGAAAGAGCGCCCACCAGAGGCGGAGUACAUCAACUCCCGCUGCGUCCUUUUCACCUAUUUCCAGGGAGACAUCAGCUCCGUUGUAGACGAGCAUUUUAGCAGGGCCCUGAGCCAGCCUAGCAGCUAUUCCCCGAGCUGUUCAAGCAGCAAAGCCCCGCGGAGCUCCGGGCCCUGGCGGGACGGCUCCUACCCCAUGAGCCAGCGCAGCUUCCCCGCCUCCUUCUGGAACAGCGCUUACCAGACGCCGGUGCCCGCGCCGCUGGGCAGCCCGCUGGCCGCCGCGCACUCGGAGCUGCCCUUCGCCGCCGCCGCCGCCGCCGACCCCUACUCACCGGCCGCGCUACACGGCCACCUGCACCAGGGCGCGGCUGAGCCCUGGCACCACGCGCACCCGCACCACGCGCACCCGCACCAUCCGUACGCGCUGGGCGGCGCCCUCGGAGCCCAGGCCGCCGCCUACCCGCGGCCCGCCGCCGUGCACGAGGUCUACGCGCCGCACUUCGACCCGCGCUACGGGCCGCUGCUGAUGCCCGCCGCCUCCGGGCGUCCGGCCCGCCUCGCGCCGGCCCCGGCCCCCGCGCCCGGCAGCCCGCCCUGCGAGCUCUCCGCCAAGGGCGAGCCGGCCAGCGCCGCGUGGGCCGCGCCCGGGGGACCCUUCGCGAGCCCCGCGGGGGACGUGCCCGGGGGUCUGGGCCUCAGCGUGGACUCAGGUAAGCGGGAGAGGGGAUGUGGCAUCCCCGGGCCCCUCCUGCCCUGCGCCCCAAACUGGGCUGAGCCGGGGACCCCAUUUAGUUCUCCUUGGAGACCCCAGUGACCCUGAGGCAUGAAGGUCUGCACACAGCGGGGUUGUGUUUCAGCAGACAGAUGACUCUGUCAUCGGUGUGGACAAAAUGAGAAAGUGGCCGGUUAAUAUUACAGAGGAUUUUUUAAGAAUAAAAUUUGUCAGAGAGGUUCUAGCUCUGUGCUGUUCAGUACCGUAGCCAGCAGCCACGUGUGUCGGCUGAGCACGUGAAACGUGGCCAGGCUGAAUUGGGGUGUACUCUUAAGUGUAUAAUAGACACAGGAUUCAGGACUUUGUCCGCAAAAGGAAUGUAAAAUUCAUCUCAUUAUAUUUUAUAUUGAUUGCAUGUUUCAACAUUGCACACUAAAUAUAUAUUGGGUUAAAUAAAAUAUAUUACUAAAUUAAUUCUCACCUGUUUCUUUUUACUUUUUUUCAAUGUGGCUGCCAGACAAUUUAGAAUUAUACCCAUGGCUUCCAUUGCUUCUAUUGGACAGCGCUGAUCUAGAGUACCUGCUAAGAAUGUAGUUUAAAAUCCUUUACAACUUGAGGGGCACAGAGGGUCUUGUCACCCAGUGAUAGUUACAAGUCAUACAAAUUUGACCCAUGACUGAUAACAACUUAAUUGCCAAAUGAAAUAAGUUUCUUGAAAACAGAAAACUUAACAAGAAUAUGUUGUUAGUGAUAAUAUUACGUCCCUAGCUUAAAGAGUUGAAUUUGAAAGGUACAUUCAAAUAAGGCUUUACUUUUUUGUUUGCUUUAUUUUUAGGGCAAAAUGAAAAAAAAAAUUUGCAUAAUAAAUGGGAUUGUAGUCUUGCCCCACUCUCUGUUCCCUCAGGUGCAGAUGUGACAUUUGUUUGCUUUGCUUUUACUUUCAUCCAUGCCCUUUAGAUGAAUUCUGUGACUUUCACAAUAAAACACUGGUGUUUGUCUUUCUCUUUCUUUAAAUACCUUGUGCCUUCCCUCCCCCACCCCCUUCUCUCUCCCUCUCUCUGUCUCUUCUCCCUCUCUCUCUCUCUCCCUUUUAUUUUCUCUCUGUUUUCAGGUUUGCAGCCUCAGGACAAAAGCAAGGAUCUGUACUGGUUUUAGACAACCCACCUUCUUCCCUCUCGUCGUUAUUCCCUCUGUGGUGCAUCCCUCCUGAGCUGAUCUGCUGACCUUCCCCCUGCCCCUUCCCUUCUGACCAGCCAUGGAGGCUCAGCAUCUGUGCCUCUCACUUCAUGGAUGAGGACUUGGGGGAAGGCAGAGACUUCAAACUGCUCCGUGUAUCGGGAGAACCAAAACACACGCGACAGAAUUUUCAUCUAAAAAUAAUGCCUUCUGCCAAAAGAGCAGACCCAAAGACUCUGAAUUAAGCUCAAUGACUUUUGGGCAAAUCACUGGAACUAUCCGUGGUGAGAUCACUCAGGUGACAAGAUGUCAUGGUUUUCUUGGAAAGAAGGAAAGAAAAAAAGAGACGUUUUGGUGUGAAUAUUUUUUUUAUGCUGGUGUGAAUUAUUUCAUUAAGUAGUGGGAUCACAGCACUGCUGACGUCAAUAUCCUCACAUUGAAAAUGUCUUUGUAUUUGCAUCGAAGACUGUAUGGUAGAGAAAUCAAAAGAAGCCAAUUCUUUCUUCCUCACCUGUAGCCUCCAGCUCCCUUCCUGCCCACUCCCUCCCUGCAACACCCACUCCAGACACAAAGACACACCUUUUCCUUCGGACUGUGAACAUGGAAGCCUCAGCCUGAAUGUGAGUGGCAAGUGGCUUAUCUGGAGCCACCUGCCCAAGUCUUACUGAAAUGCAGCUGUCGUAGGACAACUGUUUAAAACUCCAGAAAUACAUCGACCAAGGUGGCACUUCCCAGUGUUUGGCACAACAAUUGCAAUUGCACUGGAUAUGUUUUAUACAUGUGUGUGUAUAUCAUAUUUUUUACAAAGGACAUUUUAUGAUGAAAGAAAAAACUCUCUCUGCCUUCUCUCCCACAAGUUCUGUCCCUCCCUCUAUCCUCCUCUGGAUGAAAGGGGAAAAAAAAUUAAGCCUCGAGAGACCCCAAUGGUCUCCAAGAAGAACUAGGAAUCACCACAAGGGGAAGAGAUGUCCGUGGAGUCUCGGGUACCUCAGAUAUUCUUCUCAGUCUCUAUGGUCAUGAUUUGAUCACUUUAGUAUUGGGACAGGGGAAGGGGGUACAUCUGUGGGCAAAACUGAAGGUGAUGAAGAAGAAACGAACAUUAAAGAUGUUUGUUUACCACUAGGUUGCUGUGUUAUUUCUUCAAAGGAAAACAAAUGUCUUAGUUUUUCUCUAAUAGAAUAAAAUAAUUUAUAGUAAUAUGACCUGAUGUCAGUAAGUAAAGUCACUUUGUGUAAGUAUUUUUGGUUUUCCAAAGUGUUUGCCAUGCCAUGAAAUCUGAGAACUCCUUUCCACCUUGUAUCAACCUUGGAGAUGAGAAGUUAGGUAUUCCCUCUCUGUUUCAUAAAUGAGAAAAUCAUGGCCCAAGGAAGCCCGGGUUACCUGAUAGUCCUCAUCAAGUAAAAGAAAUGUAUAGGAAAACCGACUUGUGCACCACUCAGUCAGAUACACACAUUAUUCUCCAAAAGAGAAUUAUCGUUGCUUCCUAGAUUCUAGACUCUUAAAGAUAGUAAAGUACUCAGUUUAAAAAUGUUUUUGAAAUCUUGGUUGAUUUAUACUUCGAUCAGCUAGGCUAAGAAACCAAACGUACAACUAAGCCAAAAAAAAAGAAUUUAUUAAAAACUUAAUGGUUUUAUGUUCCCUUGAUGCCAAGGUUGUGUUCUUUCCCCUAAAGAGAAAGAGUUAAUGUUGUGCCCAAAUUGCCCUUGAACGCUGUUAAAGCAUAAAAUAUUAAUUCAAAUCUUGAUCUUCA